Molecule: long non-coding RNA, 1251 nt
Organism: Cavia porcellus (domestic guinea pig)
Lineage: Eukaryota; Metazoa; Chordata; Mammalia; Rodentia; Caviidae
Exons: 4
Source: RefSeq, a predicted model, not a curated record
GUCCUUUCCCUGCGCCCGCCCACCUCGGUGGCUUGGAGGACCACGUCGACCACGUGAAUGUGAACUUAGUGGGAAGAUACGCUGAGCCGGUUCAGAGCGGCCUGGCUUAGUGAUAACAGAGGAGGUGCUGCUUGAUUUAUAUCUUGAAGGUGAAUCAGAAGUUGUCUGGCAAAAAGGAGGGAGAGGAGAAAAGAAGCUCUAAGCAGAAAGACCAGCAUCUAUCUGCAAAGACCACAAAGCCCUACCAAAAGGAUGUGACAUGGAUCGGUGACAUGGAUCAGUUUGACUACCUGCCUCACCACGUGGUGAACUGCCCUGGGACUCUGCAGACAGCUCCCCACCCCAGCAAGGAGGCAUUCACUAGAUGUGGCCACUCAACAGUGAGCUUCCCCACCUCCUGAGUCACUGGGAUUACAAAUAUGGCACCAUUUGGAACCUGAGGUUGGAAUAGCCACCUCCCCUACUCCACACACCUGUCCUGCCUGCUCUAUCCUCCCUCACCCAAAGUCCUGCUGAUGCUACCACCUCAUAGAGAACUCACCCAGAAGCAGCAAGGCCAUCAGUGCCCACAUGAUGGAUCUGCCUGGAGCAACUGGGGAAGAUGAAGACGUGCUGGUAGGGUGUUGGGGCAGAGAGAAAGAAGGUGGCCAGUGGCUAACUGAGUACCAGGAAACCCUGUUGAGUCUCCCACCCAUUCCUAGUUCCUGAAGACUGGAGAGAGCAGGAGACAGGCUGAAUAUAUGUUGGCCUCAAGGAAUCCCAAGCAUCAGGCACUGUCCUGUCUGCCAGCCUGGUAGCCAAGUCCAGCUCAGGCCAGCGCUGACUCCUGUGGGGCCUGCUGAGCUUGUGCUCUCUUCAGCACAAGAGAGCCAUGUAGAUCUCCAGGCUGCCACAGCUGACCCUGCCGUCUUCAGCCUCUCGUGGGCAGCCCAUUUCCACUCCAUCUCCUUUCUACCGGCUAACCCUGGAAGCCUCAGGUGAAGGGGACACACCUUCACCUCCACAAGGCUGACUUUGCUCAUUCCCUGAAGGCUGGUGCGAGGCCUCGCGAGAUCAGUGCUAAGCCCCCUGCCCAAAGCUGACCUUCUUCCACUGAAGAGUGAACAGAAAGGUAUGACUCACCAACCACUCUUCUAUGUCCCCACCCUCCUGGUCCCCAAAGAUAAUCGUGAUGUGCUUCCCUUUCUUCCCCACUUCCCGAAAUCUUAAACCCUCAAAAGUUAAAAAAAAUGUGUUUCCUACUCACCGCAA